GGUCACUUCACCUCAGAUUCAUUGAAGCUGCUUUCAAGUUCUCCCCUGCCAAUGUCCAUGAAACAAGAUGGCCACUGGAAUCACCGCUCAGUAACUGCUUUAAGUCACUUGUUAAGUGAAGCGCAGUCACUGGAUGCUUGUGAAAUUUCAGUACCUUGUGAAGAAUCAAUCGGUACUCUGCUACCUUAUUGUCGAGAUUCAGACCAACCAUGCUACUACCAGUAGAUUUGGUCUGAGAAACAGGGUUGGAGCAAUGAACCA
This 261-nucleotide unclassified non-coding RNA is filed under the name Hevea brasiliensis (rubber tree). Lineage: Eukaryota; Viridiplantae; Streptophyta; Magnoliopsida; Malpighiales; Euphorbiaceae. The record is from RNAcentral.